GACGAACGCUGGCGGCGUGCUUAACACAUGCAAGUCGAACGGUGAAGCCUAGCUUGCUAGGUGGAUUAGUGGCGAACGGGUGAGUAAUACGUGAGUAACCUACCUUUAACUCUGGGAUAAGCCUGGGAAACUGGGUCUAAUACCGGAUACGACCAAUCUCCGCAUGGGGUGUUGGUGGAAAGCGUUAUGUAGUGGUUAUAGAUGGGCUCACGGCCUAUCAGCUUGUUGGUGAGGUAACGGCUCACCAAGGCGACGACGGGUAGCCGGCCUGAGAGGGUGACCGGCCACACUGGGACUGAGACACGGCCCAGACUCCUACGGGAGGCAGCAGUGGGGAAUAUUGCACAAUGGGCGCAAGCCUGAUGCAGCGACGCCGCGUGAGGGAUGACGGCCUUCGGGUUGUAAGCCUCUGUUAGCAGGGAAGAAGAGAGAUUGACGGUACCUGCAGAGAAAGCGCCGGCUAACUACGUG
Molecule: ribosomal RNA, 471 nt
Filed under: uncultured bacterium
Lineage: Bacteria
Description: partial 16S ribosomal RNA
Rfam family: Bacterial small subunit ribosomal RNA
Source: RNAcentral